Molecule: transfer RNA, 74 nt
Filed under: Aphanomyces invadans
Lineage: Eukaryota; Oomycota; Saprolegniomycetes; Saprolegniales; Verrucalvaceae
Description: tRNA H310_02794
Source: RNAcentral
GUGGAAAAUGGCUCACCUGGUUGAGCGUUCGCAUCGUUAGCGAAAGGUGCAGGGUUCGAUCCCCCGCGUCGACG